Molecule: ribosomal RNA, 340 nt
Filed under: uncultured Pseudomonadota bacterium
Lineage: Bacteria; Pseudomonadati; Pseudomonadota
Description: bacterial SSU rRNA
Rfam family: Bacterial small subunit ribosomal RNA
Source: RNAcentral
AACGAACGCUGGCGGCGCGCCUAACACAUGCAAGUCGAACGCGAAAGUGUAGCAAUACAUGAGUAAAGUGGCGCACGGGUGAGUAACGCGUAGGUGAUCUACCUCUGUGACCGGGAUAACCAGCCGAAAGGUUGGCUAAUACCGGAUAGAGCGCAUUUAUCGUAGUGAUGAAUGCGGGAAAGGGUGGCGCCCGCAAGGGGCUACUGCACUGAGAUGAGCCUGCGUCUCAUUAGCUAGUUGGUAGGGUAACGGCCUACCAAGGCUUUGAUGGGUAGCUGGUCUGAGAGGACGAUCAGCCACACUGGAACUGAAACACGGUCCAGACUCCUACGGGAGGCUG